Long non-coding RNA from Nicrophorus vespilloides, 955 nucleotides. RefSeq lists it as uncharacterized. The transcript has 2 exons. The record is from RefSeq and is a predicted model, not a curated record. Lineage: Eukaryota; Metazoa; Arthropoda; Insecta; Coleoptera; Silphidae.
UAUUAUGAUUGGAUAUGUUAUAUCUAUCUUUCAUUUACAGGUAAAUUUAUUUCCAUUUUAAUUGUAGCUACAAAUGAAUAGUUUUCAUAUGUAGUGAGGUACAUGGGUUUAAUUGUUGUAAUUUCAAUAAUAUCAGGUAAACUUGUUUCAACAGAUGUGUGUGUGUGUGUGUUACAUGUGAUCAAUGUGGAUCAUCCUUGGGAUCGGCUAUACUUCACUAGUCGAUCCAGCGGUUGGUUUAUGCUGAUUUGAUUUGCAUCUUAUUUAUGGUAUGAAUGAUGUAUGUUUAUUGUGUUGUUUUUAUUUUCUAAACUGUGUUUGCUUUCAAACAUCACGCGCUAGCUUCUAAAUGUUUUUUUUUCACUUUUGUUUUCAAAUCCGACGUGCAUGUGCUUCUAUUUUAAGUCGCUAAGGUGGGCCAAAUAACUGCAGUACUUUGGUUAUACCAUCUUGUCAACUUUAAAUACAAUCAUGUGCGAAAUCAGUAAGCAGGCCGUAUAUUUUACAUUAUUGUGAAAUAUUAGGACUGGGUGGAGGUGGGCUUUACUGGAUUCAAUUCAAAAAAAAAAUAAACAACGAAAAGAAAACAAUGAAACUAAACUAAACAAAAAGAAAACCUUUAAACAAAACGAUUUAAAUUGAUGCGAGCUCUCCGAGGAACAUCGAUGAUGGCGCAGCGUGGGAUCAUCAGGCCAAAUUCCUUUCAUGUCCUCGUCCCCUUUCAUCAUCAUCUUACUAACAACUUUUCCUAACCUUGGUUCAGCUUCAUUCUUCCCCCCCGACCGUCAGGAAGGACAUCAUUCACUCUCAAAUAAAUCCACGUGGUUGGUCUGCUCUUCACUUCACCAUCAGUAUUAAACUCAAACUUUAAAUCACGAUUUAACUUUGUUGUAUUUUCGAAAAAAAAAGAAGAAAUAACCAAAAGAAUAAAAUACUAUAAUUUACGAAAAAAAAA